Molecule: ribosomal RNA, 492 nt
Filed under: uncultured bacterium
Lineage: Bacteria
Description: partial 16S ribosomal RNA
Rfam family: Bacterial small subunit ribosomal RNA
Source: RNAcentral
AGUGAGCGCUGGCGGUAGGCCUAACACAUGCAAGUCGAACGGCAGCACAGUAAGAGCUUGCUCUUACGGGUGGCGAGUGGCGGACGGGUGAGGAAUACAUCGGAAUCUACUUUUUCGUGGGGGAUAACGUAGGGAAACUUACGCUAAUACCGCAUACGACCUACGGGUGAAAGCAGGGGAUCUUCGGACCUUGCGCGAUUGAAUGAGCCGAUGUCGGAUUAGCUAGUUGGCGGGGUAAAGGCCCACCAAGGCGACGAUCCGUAGCUGGUCUGAGAGGAUGAUCAGCCACACUGGAACUGAGACACGGUCCAGACUCCUACGGGAGGCAGCAGUGGGGAAUAUUGGACAAUGGGCGCAAGCCUGAUCCAGCCAUACUGCGUGGGUGAAGAAGGCCUUCGGGUUGUAAAGCCCUUUUGUUGGGAAAGAAAAGCAGCAGGUUAAUACCCCGCUGUUCUGACGGUACCCAAAGAAUAAGCACCGGCUAACUUCGUG